UCCCCGAUGGCGCAACGGUAGCGCGGCUCGCUGUUAACGAGAAGGUUCUAGGUUCGAAUCCUAGUCGGGGAGCCC
This 75-nucleotide transfer RNA is filed under the name Candidatus Cerribacteria bacterium 'Amazon FNV 2010 28 9'. RNAcentral describes it as "tRNA-Asn". It matches the Rfam family "tRNA". From Rfam's summary of the family: Transfer RNA (tRNA) molecules are approximately 80 nucleotides in length. Their secondary structure includes four short double-helical elements and three loops (D, anti-codon, and T loops). The record is from RNAcentral. Lineage: Bacteria; Candidatus Cerribacteria.